Molecule: long non-coding RNA, 931 nt
Filed under: Fragaria vesca (wild strawberry)
Lineage: Eukaryota; Viridiplantae; Streptophyta; Magnoliopsida; Rosales; Rosaceae
Description: long non-coding RNA (FVES_LNC005354)
Source: RNAcentral
UUCUUCCAUAUGUGAACUCUUGAUCUAGAAAGUUUGGUACUAUUUGAUAGGGUAGGCGAUUUGUGGUGAUUUGCUUACCGAUUUUGACAGAUGCUCCAAAAUUUAUGGAUUUGCAACAGUAAAGAAAGAGAGAAAGAAAUGGAUACUUAGGUAUUUUAUGUCUGAGAUUGAAUGAGGUAUCUGAGGCUUAACGAGGUUUUAAAAUUUUUGUACAAACAUGAAAUUGCUUUACCUUGGUCAUCUUAUCAUAUGUAAAGUUUUCAUUUUUCUCAAGUAUAUAAGCAGACUGGAAUAGUCAAGGUAAGAUACUUUAGUGCCAUUCUACAUCAUUGUAAUCAUAUUGUUUUAUCAAGUUGGAUUGCUCUUCUGCUCUUUUGACUUCUAUUCGAUUAAUUGUUCUUUUUUUUCCUCACAGAACUACAAGUUCAGAGGCUCUGCAUUCUGUUGUUUGUACCAGUUAUUGGUGGGUGAAAGAAAUUUUUCAUUAUGAGAAUUCAGAUCUCUGCAUCUAUCUAUGGUGUUUGUGUCAGUUAUGAUAUUUUGGAGUUAAUGGUUUGGAUUAGAACUAUAUUAGACAGAUAUCCGAGAGGGGAGUGUUUUAUUUUUCAGAUAAAACAUGACAUAUAUGUUUCAUUUUCACUAAUAGUAGCACAUAGGCUUUGUAUAUCAAAUACACAAGUUUUUAACAAAUGGAAAGAAAGGAAUUAAAGAAGUAAAGAAGGGAGUUAUGGAAGUGAUCUAUGAGAAACAAAAGUUGCAUCUAGACUGGAAAACAUUGCAAUCUAAUGGGUAUGUGCUGUCAAGCUUCUAUACAUAAAAGUAAGGGGCAUGUGUGUUGUUCAGGUCACUGAUUGUCGUAGUUUAUAGCAGUUUAGGUUGCUCAAAAAUUGAGUACUCUCAUAAUUUAUUAUGCUUAUAAUUUUAUUAUGCU